This 498-nucleotide ribosomal RNA is filed under the name uncultured bacterium. RNAcentral describes it as "bacterial SSU rRNA". It matches the Rfam family "Bacterial small subunit ribosomal RNA", at positions 325 to 840 of the family's 1533-position model. The record is from RNAcentral.
CAGCAGUGGGAUCCUACGGGGAAGAGCAGUGGGGAAUAUUGGACAAUGGGCGCAAGCCUGAUCCAGCAAUGCCGCGUGAGUGAUGAAGGCCUUCGGGUCGUAAAGCUCUUUUACCAGGGAUGAUAAUGACAGUACCUGGAGAAUAAGCUCCGGCUAACUCCGUGCCAGCAGCCGCGGUAAUACGGAGGGAGCUAGCGUUGUUCGGAAUUACUGGGCGUAAAGCGCACGUAGGCGGCGACACAAGUCAGAGGUGAAAGCCCGGGGCUCAACCCCGGAACUGCCUUUGAAACUAGGUUGCUAGAAUCUUGGAGAGGUCAGUGGAAUUCCGAGUGUAGAGGUGAAAUUCGUAGAUAUUCGGAAGAACACCAGUGGCGAAGGCGACUGACUGGACAAGUAUUGACGCUGAGGUGCGAAAGGCGUGGGGAGCAAACAGGAUUAGAUACCCUGGUAGUCCACGCCGUAAACGAUGAUAACUAGCUGUCCGGGCACUUGGUGUUU